UACGUAGGGGGCAAGCGUUAUCCGGAUUUACUGGGUGUAAAGGGGGCGUAGACGGCACGGCAAGCCAGAUGUGAAAGCCCGGGGCUCAACCCCGGGACUGCAUUUGGAACUGCUGAGCUAGAGUGUCGGAGAGGCAAGUGGAAUUCCUAGUGUAGCGGUGAAAUGCGUAGAUAUUAGGAGGAACACCAGUGGCGAAGGCGGCUUGCUGGACGAUGACUGACGUUGAGGCUCGAAAGCGUGGGGAGCAAACAGG
This 253-nucleotide ribosomal RNA is filed under the name Dorea longicatena. Its description in RNAcentral is "partial 16S ribosomal RNA". It matches the Rfam family "Bacterial small subunit ribosomal RNA", at positions 524 to 776 of the family's 1533-position model. The record is from RNAcentral. Lineage: Bacteria; Bacillati; Bacillota; Clostridia; Lachnospirales; Lachnospiraceae.